Molecule: ribosomal RNA, 1250 nt
Filed under: Candidatus Phytoplasma trifolii
Lineage: Bacteria; Bacillati; Mycoplasmatota; Mollicutes; Acholeplasmatales; Acholeplasmataceae
Description: bacterial SSU rRNA
Rfam family: Bacterial small subunit ribosomal RNA
Source: RNAcentral
GAAACGGUUGCUAAAACUGGAUAGGAAACAAAAAGGCAUCUUUUUGUUUUUAAAAGACCUUCUUAUGAAGGUAUGCUUAAAGAGGGGCUUGCGCCACAUUAGUUAGUUGGUAGAGUAAAAGCCUACCAAGACGAUGAUGUGUAGCUGGACUGAGAGGUUGAACAGCCACAUUGGGACUGAGACACGGCCCAAACUCCUACGGGAGGCAGCAGUAGGGAAUUUUCGGCAAUGGAGGAAACUCUGACCGAGCAACGCCGCGUGAACGAUGAAGUAUUUCGGUAUGUAAAGUUCUUUUAUUGAAGAAGAAAAAGUAGUGGAAAAACUAUAUUGACGUUAUUCAAUGAAUAAGCCCCGGCUAACUAUGUGCCAGCAGCCGCGGUAAGACAUAGGGGGCGAGCGUUAUCCGGAAUUAUUGGGCGUAAAGGGUGCGUAGGCUGUUAGAUAAGUCUAUAAUUUAAUUUCAGUGCUUAACGCUGUCUUGUUAUAGAAACUGUCUUGACUAGAGUGAGAUAGAGGCAAGCGGAAUUCCAUGUGUAGCGGUAAAAUGUGUAAAUAUAUGGAGGAACACCAGAAGCGUAGGCGGCUUGCUGGGUCUUUACUGACGCUGAGGCACGAAAGCGUGGGUAGCAAACAGGAUUAGAUACCCUGGUAGUCCACGCCGUAAACGAUGAGUACUAAGUGUCGGGGUAAAACUCGGUACUGAAGUUAACACAUUAAGUACUCCGCCUGAGUAGUACGUACGCAAGUAUGAAACUUAAAGGAAUUGACGGGACUCCGCACAAGCGGUGGAUCAUGUUGUUUAAUUCGAAGAUACACGAAAAAUCUUACCAGGUCUUGACAUACUCUGCAAAGCUAUAGAAAUAUAGUGGAGGUUAUCAGGGAUACAGGUGGUGCAUGGUUGUCGUCAGUUCGUGUCGUGAGAUGUUAGGUUAAGUCCUAAAACGAGCGCAACCCUUGUCGUUAAUUGCCAGCACGUAAUGGUGGGGACUUUAGCGAGACUGCCAAUUAAACAUUGGAGGAAGGUGAGGAUUACGUCAAAUCAUCAUGCCCCUUAUGAUCUGGGCUACAAACGUGAUACAAUGGCUGUGACAAAGAGUAGCUGAAACGCGAGUUUUUAGCCAAUCUCAAAAAAGCAGUCUCAGUUCGGAUUGAAGUCUGUAACUCGACUUCAUGAAGUUGGAAUCGCUAGUAAUCGCGAAUCAGCAUGUCGCGGUGAAUACGUUCUCGGGGUUUGUACACACCGCCCGUCA